Long non-coding RNA from Helianthus annuus (common sunflower), 1802 nucleotides. RefSeq lists it as uncharacterized. NCBI's taxonomy places the organism in Eukaryota, Viridiplantae, Streptophyta, Magnoliopsida, Asterales, Asteraceae. The record is from RefSeq and is a predicted model, not a curated record. The transcript has 8 exons.
CAAAAUUCAAACCCCCCAUUCUCUCUCUCAAAUAUAGUUCUGACUCCAUUUUCAAAAUUUAAACUAUAAUUUCAAUCCUGUCUCUCUCUCUCUCUCUCUCAAAUUCAGAGUGCCCUCAUCUUACCGCCGGAGAUACUCGCCGUCCCCGGUCAGUCGCCGCCGUCGAAGAGUUCGGAGCCGUUCAGCCCUUCAGAUUAGAGAAUGUGGGGAUUUAUGAUAUGUUUGAGUAUUAGAAAGAAACAGAAGGGCUGAUCGACAAUAUGAAGAAGGGCCCAUCUUGCGUGCAGCACCGAAUAAAUUGAAGUUGCCAUCUUUUUCUGAGUAUGAAGUCAGAUUCAAGAAUCUUGUCCUUUAGAAAAGAACGUUUUGCUAUUGGAUUCAGAGGGCAAGAGGGCAACGAUAAAUUUGAAACAAAAUCAAAGCUUCUCUCAUCAAUUAACGGUUUAAACUUCUCUUUUUCAGUUCGUGCUCACUUUUGAAUUCUGCAUGUUUGAGACUUUGUUGCAAAAGGCAUUUUGAGCUCAACAUUAUAUGCUGCUAGCUCUCAGUCACACUCAUUGGUGAAAGGAAAAGUAAAACUUUGCAACUCUAGAUGAGAAAACCGGAGUGGUCACCGGCAGAAAGGCUGAUUGACAAUAUGAAGAAGGGCCCAUCUUGUGUGCAGCACCGAAUAAAAUGAAGCUGCCAUCUUUUUCUGAGUAUGAAGUCAGAUUCAGGAAUCUUGUCCUUUAGAAAAGAACGUUUUGCUAUUGGAUUCAGAGGGCAAGAGGGCAACGAUAAAUUUGAAACAAAAUCGAAGCUUCUCUCAUCAAGUAAUGGUUUAAACUUCUCUUUUUCAGUUCGUGCUCACUUUUGAAUUCUGCAUGUUUGAGACUUUGUUGCAAAAGGUAUUUUGGUAAUAACUUAGUCACUCAUCGCUGAAAGGCCUGCCGUGACUUUUUUGUUCGUUUGUCAUUUCCAUUUAUCGUCUUAUCCUUUGAUUUAUGUAGAGCUUAACGUUAUAUGCUGCUAGAUCUCAGUCACUCAUUGGUGAAAGGCCUGCCAGCGAUCAGGAUUAGAGACCACCAGGACUAUAUCAAUGGAGUCUAGAUUCGAUUUAGGGGUUUUAAUGGGGAAUUAUUUGUUUUCUUUUUUCCAUUUGUUAGUUUUAUUGCUGAUUAGACUAGAUUUUUUUACCAACAAAUAUUACUGCCUAUAAAAAAAUGAAUUGCAAACCAUUUUUUCAGCACCAAAAAUACAAUACUAAACUGUUUUUUUAGAAAAAAGAAGAAAAUGAAAGCGUUAAGGAUGUGAUUCCAGUUGAAGAUGUGAAAGUUUCAACAAGGGAACUUGAGAAAGAAGAAAAAUGAUAAACUACAAAUGGUUAAGCAUCAAGGUGAUGGUGGUUAUAACGAUGGAGACGUCGAUGAUCCCGAUAUGCCAAAAUGAUUUGUGAAGAACAUGGAUUUAUAUCGAAAUAGUGAAUGUAAUCCGCGGUUUCGGUUUGAGUAUUUUGAAAAGCAUCAUGGAAUACCGAGAGGAAAAGAUAAGGGCGCGUUUUAGAGUUGAAGCCGAGGCAAAAAGGCAUGUAACGAGGCAUGAGUUAUACCCAACAAUGAAGGAUCUUGCAUCAAGAGAUGUUUCAAGGUUUACGAUCACGGAAUAUAGAACAAUGUUUGCUCGAUUGUUAUUUAAAAGGUGUUCCCUUUUAUUUGUUAUUUAAAAGACGUUCUGUUUUUUUAUAAUCUAUUUUUAAUUAAACCUUAAAAAUGUAUAGUCAUUCGUCGUUUUAUACAAUAUGGUAUGCAUGGUUUUCUAAGAAA